Molecule: RNase P RNA, 346 nt
Rfam family: Bacterial RNase P class A
About the family: Ribonuclease P (RNase P) is a ubiquitous endoribonuclease, found in archaea, bacteria and eukarya as well as chloroplasts and mitochondria. Its best characterised activity is the generation of mature 5'-ends of tRNAs by cleaving the 5'-leader elements of precursor-tRNAs. Cellular RNase Ps are ribonucleoproteins.
CGAGUGAAUUGAGUGGUCGCGGGUAUAAGGCGAAAGCCUGUGCGCGAGGAAAGUCCGGGCUCCACAGGGCAAGGAUAACGGGUAACACCCGCCAGGGGCGACCCUCGGACAAGUGCAACAGAGAUAUACCGCCACAUUUUUUUGUGGUAAGGGUGGAAAGGCGAGGUAAGAGCUCACCCAUCUUCCGGAGACGGAACGAUGCUGUAAACUCUAUCCGGAGCAACACCGCGGAGGGACUUAUGAUCUGCCCGAUCGUCCCGAGGAGGUGGCUUGAGCCUGUCGGCAACGGCAGGCCUAGACUGAUGACUGCUUUAAACAGAAUCCGGCUUACAGAUUCACUCGCAUU